This 83-nucleotide non-coding RNA is filed under the name Xanthomonas campestris. Lineage: Bacteria; Pseudomonadati; Pseudomonadota; Gammaproteobacteria; Lysobacterales; Lysobacteraceae. The record is from RNAcentral.
CUUUAUGGCGGGCGGUGCGCGGGGGUCGCAAGGCCCACCGGUCCUCAGGCCGGCACGCCAACCGCGUACCGUCCGCCACCCGG